This 462-nucleotide ribosomal RNA is filed under the name uncultured bacterium. Its description in RNAcentral is "bacterial SSU rRNA". It matches the Rfam family "Bacterial small subunit ribosomal RNA", at positions 15 to 507 of the family's 1533-position model. The record is from RNAcentral.
GAUCAUGGCUCAGAGACGAACGCUAGCGGCGGGCUUAACACAUGCAAGUCGAGCGGAGAGCUUCGGCUCUCAGCGGCGAACGGGUGAGUAACACGUAGGUCACGUACCCUUUGAUGGGGAAUAACCGUAGGGAAACCUGGGCUAAUACCGCAUAUGUCCUUCGGGAUGAAAGCCUUCGGGCGUCAGAGGAUCGGCCUGCGGCCCAUUAUUUAAUCCUAGUUGGUAGGGUAAUGGCCUACCAAGGGUACGAUGGGUAGCUGGUCUGAGAGGAUGAUCAGCCACACUGGAACUGAGACACGGUUCAGACUCCUACGGGAGGCAGCAGUGGGGAAUAUUGGACAAUGGGCGAAAGCCUGAUCCAGCCACGCCGCGUGGGUGAUGGAGGCCUUCGGGUUGUAAAGCCCUGUCGGGAGGGACGAAUCAAUGACGGUACCUCCCAAGAAAGCACCGGCUAACUCCGUG